Myotis brandtii (Brandt's bat) is the source of this 345-nucleotide long non-coding RNA. RefSeq lists it as uncharacterized. The transcript is spliced from 3 exons. NCBI's taxonomy places the organism in Eukaryota, Metazoa, Chordata, Mammalia, Chiroptera, Vespertilionidae. The record is from RefSeq and is a predicted model, not a curated record.
GGUUGCGAACCUCCCCCUCUUAUUGGGGUGGGGGUUCUGUUUCAGCCCCCGGGCUUGCACCCCUUUUUAUUGCCUCCGACUGCACGAUGAAGGUCAGCUGCAAGGAAUCCACACCUUUGUGAGCGCCCUGGCAGGGGCUCUGACAGCCCUCCUGGGGCCCCCACCGGCUGCACCUUAAAACCAGAAACAUGCAGCAGUUCUCUAGGACCAUGCCUGCCAGCCUGAAAACAUGCUGGAAUAAUCUUCAAGCCAAACAACCAGCCCAGACGAUCAUCCUUCACCCUACACCAAGCAUGUCAAACUCGCAGCCCACGGGCCACAUGUGGCCCACAAUGAAUAUUUUUG